UACGUAGGUGGCAAGCGUUGUCCGGAUUUAUUGGGCUUAAAGGGUGCGUAGGCGGUUUUGUAAGUCAGUGGUGAAAUAUGGCAGCUCAACUGUCAGGGUGCCAUUGAUACUGCGGAGCUUGAGUACAGAUGAGGUAGGCGGAAUUGACGGUGUAGCGGUGAAAUGCUUAGAUAUCGUCAAGAACACCGAUAGCGAAGGCAGCUUACUGGGCUGUAACUGACGCUGAGGCACGAAAGUGUGGGGAUCAAACAGG
RNAcentral lists this ribosomal RNA (253 nucleotides) under uncultured bacterium. RNAcentral describes it as "partial 16S ribosomal RNA". It matches the Rfam family "Bacterial small subunit ribosomal RNA", at positions 524 to 776 of the family's 1533-position model. The record is from RNAcentral.